Molecule: ribosomal RNA, 107 nt
Filed under: Streptomyces diastatochromogenes
Lineage: Bacteria; Bacillati; Actinomycetota; Actinomycetes; Kitasatosporales; Streptomycetaceae
Description: partial 16S ribosomal RNA
Rfam family: Bacterial small subunit ribosomal RNA
Source: RNAcentral
CAUUCACGGAGAGUUUGAUCCUGGCUCAGGACGAACGCUGGCGGCGUGCUUAACACAUGCAAGUCGAACGAUGAACCACUUCGGUGGGGAUUAGUGGCGAACGGGUG